This 253-nucleotide ribosomal RNA is filed under the name uncultured bacterium. RNAcentral describes it as "partial 16S ribosomal RNA". It matches the Rfam family "Bacterial small subunit ribosomal RNA", at positions 524 to 776 of the family's 1533-position model. The record is from RNAcentral.
UACGUAGGGGGCUAGCGUUGUCCGGAUUUAUUGGGCGUAAAGAGCGUGUAGGCGGCUUGGUAGGUCCGCUGUGAAAACUCGGGGCUCAACCCCGAGAGGUCGGUGGAAACCAUCUGGCUAGAGUCCGGAAGAGGAGAGUGGAAUUCCCGGUGUAGCGGUGAAAUGCGCAGAUAUCGGGAAGAAUAUCCGUGGCGAAGGCGGCUCUCUGGGACGGUACUGACGCUGAGACGCGAAAGCGUGGGGAGCGAACAGG